This 471-nucleotide ribosomal RNA is filed under the name uncultured bacterium. RNAcentral describes it as "bacterial SSU rRNA". It matches the Rfam family "Bacterial small subunit ribosomal RNA", at positions 355 to 825 of the family's 1533-position model. The record is from RNAcentral.
UCGAGAAUUUUUCUCAAUGGGCGAAAGCCUGAAGGAGCGACGCCGCGUGGGGGAUGAAUGGCUUCGGCCCGUAAACCCCUGUCAUUUGCGAACAAACCUCGUGAUUUAACAGAUGACGAGCUGAUUGUAGCGAAAGAGGAAGGGACGGCUAACUCUGUGCCAGCAGCCGCGGUAAUACAGAGGUCCCAAGCGUUGUUCGGAUUCACUGGGCGUAAAGGGUGCGUAGGUGGUUGGGUAAGUCUGAUGUGAAAUCUCCGGGCCUAACCCGGAAACUGCAUCGGAUACUAUUCGACUGGAGGGUUGGAGGGGGGACUGGAAUACUUGGUGUAGCAGUGAAAUGCGUAGAUAUCAAGUGGAACACCAGUGGCGAAGGCGAGUCCCUGGACAACUCCUGACACUGAGGCACGAAAGCUAGGGGAGCAAACAGGAUUAGAUACCCACGUAGUCCCUGAGCGGGCUGGCAAGGCGCAU